RNAcentral lists this ribosomal RNA (774 nucleotides) under uncultured Neocallimastigales. RNAcentral describes it as "partial large subunit ribosomal RNA". It matches the Rfam family "Eukaryotic large subunit ribosomal RNA", at positions 24 to 643 of the family's 3401-position model. Lineage: Eukaryota; Fungi; Neocallimastigomycota; Neocallimastigomycetes; Neocallimastigales. The record is from RNAcentral.
UAUGUGAUCGUCUCUCGCAUAUCAAUAAGCGGAGGAAAAGAAACUAACAAGGAUUCCCCUAGUAACGGCGAGUGAAGCGGGAAGAGCUCAAAUUUGAAAUCUUAAAGGGUUUCCCUUUACGAAUUGUAGUUUAAAGAAGUGUUUUCUGUUGAGGUUUUGGUAAAAGUUCUUUGGAAUAGGACAUCAUAGAGGGUGAGAAUCCCGUAUUUGACCUUUACUUUCAACUUUGUGAUACACUUUCUAAGAGUCGGAUUGUUUGGGAAUGCAGUCCAAAAUGGGUGGUAAAUUUCAUCUAAAGCUAAAUAUUGGCGAGAGACCGAUAGCGAACAAGUACCGUGAGGGAAGAUGAAAAGAACUUUGAAAAGAGAGUUAAACAGUACGCGAAAUUGUCAAAAGGGAAGCGUUUGACACCAGUGUUGUUUUUCUGAAAAUCAAUUAAAGAACUGUUUAUGCUAAGCUGUUUAGACUUUAUCAGCUAAUCUGUUUAGUUUUGAGCUUUUCUUUAAUGCACUUUUCAGUUAACAAGUCAACAUCAAUUUCUUUUGCUGUAAAAAAGCUUGAGGAAGGUGGCUUGAGAUUCGUCUUAAGUGUUUAUAGCCUCUUGCCUAUGCAGUCGGAGAGAUUGAGGUCUGCAGCGUAGAUCCUUCGGGGCUAAAUGCAUUUGUGCUAAGUUAUAGCAUUUUAUAGACAACUUGUUGACUAUGAUUUGUCUUGUAGCUUACUCGCUUAUGUUAUUUUACCUACGCUUAGGAUGUUGACACACGCGCGUGCUCG